UGGGGCGUGGCCAAGUGGUAAGGCAGGGGACUUUGAAUCCCCGAUCCCAGGUUCGAUCCCUGGCGCCCCAACCC
Molecule: transfer RNA, 74 nt
Filed under: Chloroflexota bacterium
Lineage: Bacteria; Bacillati; Chloroflexota
Description: Chloroflexi bacterium tRNA-Gln
Rfam family: tRNA
About the family: Transfer RNA (tRNA) molecules are approximately 80 nucleotides in length. Their secondary structure includes four short double-helical elements and three loops (D, anti-codon, and T loops). Further hydrogen bonds mediate the characteristic L-shaped molecular structure. tRNAs have two regions of fundamental functional importance: the anti-codon, which is responsible for specific mRNA codon recognition, and the 3' end, to which the tRNAs corresponding amino acid is attached (by aminoacyl-tRNA synthetases). tRNAs cope with the degeneracy of the genetic code in two manners: having more than one tRNA (with a specific anti-codon) for a particular amino acid; and 'wobble' base-pairing, i.e. permitting non-standard base-pairing at the 3rd anti-codon position.
Source: RNAcentral